Molecule: ribosomal RNA, 253 nt
Filed under: uncultured bacterium
Lineage: Bacteria
Description: partial 16S ribosomal RNA
Rfam family: Bacterial small subunit ribosomal RNA
Source: RNAcentral
GACAGAGGGUGCAAACGUUGUUCGGAAUUACUGGGCGUAAAGCGAGUGUAGGCGGUUCGAUAAGUCGGAUGUGAAAGCCCCGGGCUCAACCCGGGAAGUGCACUCGAUACUGGCGAGCUAGAGUAUCGGAGAGGUUGGUGGAAUUCUCGGUGUAGAGGUGAAAUUCGUAGAUAUCGAGAGGAACACCGGUGGCGAAGGCGGCCAACUGGACGAAUACUGACGCUGAGACUCGAAAGCGUGGGGAGCAAACAGG